CUCCGACCCCGCACGUCGCCGCCGGCGCCCUCGCCGCCGCCUAUAAAAAGCCGCCUGGCCUCCCCACUCUUCACCCACUAGCACCACCACUCCCCAUCUCCCCUGCCUCCGCCACCCGAGCCGCCGCCGCCGCCGAAACCCACCACCGGCCGCACCCCCUCCCUACCCAAAUCCCCGAGGUAAGUAGCAAAAUGGGGCCUCCCCGGACCCCUCCACCAUCUCCCGCCGCCUCCCCUCGCCGCCGGCGACCCUAGGCCGCCGCCCCUAGGCCCGGCCGUGACCCCCCUUUCUCCCCUUCUCUGUGUACUGUGCGCACCAGAGGAAGAAGAAAACCAAUUUCCGAUCUAACCCCCUGAAAUCCACUAUUCGCAAAUAAGUCCUCCCACCACUCUCAUAAAGCUAUUCGCGGAUAAGCCCCUCCACCUCCAAAAUUAUUUACAAAUAGGUCCCUGGUUUAGUACAAAUCAGUCCUAAGCCUCCGUUUAAGCCCCUAAUUCAUGUUUAACCUGUCAUUUCAUGUGCCAAACUUCCUCCAAUUAAUCCCAAAUUUCACCACGUCAUCCUCUGGAAUACUUUCGCCGAUCUAUAUCCAAAUCUCCCAGAAAUAAUCCUUCUACCUAUUUUCCGUUCGCAUUUCCUGUUCGGAGCUCACGGUUAAAAACCGUUUUCUCUUUAUUUAUUUGCGUGUCUGUUUGCGUGUGCCGUAGAUCGCGAAUUGCCCGAGGAGGAGCCCGAGGAGGAGUUUGACCGCGAGCCCGAGCCCGAGGACCAGUACCGCAAGCCGGAACUC
RNAcentral lists this long non-coding RNA (790 nucleotides) under Setaria viridis. RNAcentral's name for it is "long non-coding RNA (SVIR_LNC006655)". The record is from RNAcentral. Lineage: Eukaryota; Viridiplantae; Streptophyta; Magnoliopsida; Poales; Poaceae.